Molecule: ribosomal RNA, 19 nt
Filed under: Colletotrichum sp. SOLS-CA002
Lineage: Eukaryota; Fungi; Ascomycota; Sordariomycetes; Glomerellales; Glomerellaceae
Also listed under: 5 other names
Description: partial 28S ribosomal RNA
Source: RNAcentral
UUGACCUCGAUCAGGUAGA